This 385-nucleotide ribosomal RNA is filed under the name uncultured bacterium. Its description in RNAcentral is "bacterial SSU rRNA". It matches the Rfam family "Bacterial small subunit ribosomal RNA", at positions 29 to 418 of the family's 1533-position model. The record is from RNAcentral.
AGCGAACGUUUGCGGCGGGCCUAACACAUGCAAGUCGAACGCACUAGCAAUAGUGAGUGGCGCACGGGUGCGUAACACGUGGGUAAUCAACCCUUCAGCUUGGGAUAACGACUUGAAAGGGUCGCUAAUACCGGAUACGGCGCGGGAGGCUUCGGCUUCUCACGAGAAAGCCUCGCAAGGGGCACUGAAGGACGAGCCUGCGGCCCAUCAGCUAGUUGGUGAGGUAAGAGCUCACCAAGGCGAAGACGGGUAGCUGGUCUGAGAGGAUGAUCAGCCACACUGGAACUGAGACACGGUCCAGACUCCUACGGGAGGCAGCAGUGGGGAAUUUUGGACAAUGGGCGCAAGCCUGAUCCAGCCAUUCCGCGUGCAGGAUGAAGGCCUC